AGAAGUCUCGUUGUCACAUUGCAACUUAGGUGUCAAUUUAUUACCGGACUUUUGAACGAGUGACUCACAUUCCCAUCCGCUCCACUAGAAAGUCUAGUAGCAAUCAAUCAACCCCCUCAAGUUGCAGCUCCCAAGGCACUUCUUCUCCACCCCAUACCUCUUAGGUUCUAGUCAAUCGAUUCCCUAUCCAAACCCUCUUCCAAUCUCCAGAGUUGGAAGCAAUCGACCCCCUUCCAAAAUCCUAACUUAGAGCAGCCAUGGAUGAAGACUUGAAACUAAAGGAGGAGCAGGACCACGCUCUGCCACCAAGGACGAGUUGGGCGGGCACCAUGAGAAUGAAGGCGUGAGAAUCUAGAGACAUUUAGGAUCUGCACCAACAAGGAAACAUGGAGGUUGGAUCGUUGAUGGAUAGACAGGUUGUCAAGAGCUAGCCUUCUUCCGUUUGCGUGGAUGCUUGAGCUCAUGACUGCACGGCCAGGUCACUUCAAUUAUGACUUAUCAAUCCCCGCCACUCUUACCGACCGUUCGCAUCCCAAAAUGAACACGUUUCACUUGCCAUGCAAGGAUAUGAAGAUCACCUUGCAAGAUGUCUCAAUGCGCACUAACUUACCCAUAGUAGGGGAAGCCAUCACGCAUCAAUAUGCACCUGAUGACUCGCACACACACAUAGCAGGGGAAGUCAAAACUAUAAGGAUCCUAAAAAGACAACCAUGGAUCCACCUUGAAGUGGCUUCUUCACUUUAAGGUAUAAGGAUAUUUUCCAAAUACCGUCAGAUUUUCCUUGUCCAAUUAUUCGUGUGGAUUCUAUUUUGUGUAGAAUGUAUGUUAUGUUAUUUUUAUGCAAGAUGGACAUCAUGAAUCGUAAUGUGGACGAAGCAAAUGAUGAUCUAUUUAGUCAUUAGCUGGAGGCAUUCAUCCUGUUUUUAUUCGGUUCGGUGAUGUUUGCCAGCUCCCACGGCGACACCGUGGACAAGCGCAUAAACCGCAUAGCCAGGAUGAUCGAUGAUGUCGACCUGGAGAUGGCUCAACUCAUCUCUAUCUGAGCAAGACCUGGAGAUUGCUCGAUGUACCAUGAACUGAGCAAGGCCUGCACCAUGACAAGCAAAUACUUACGAUUUGUGAGUCCCUCUUCUCGUGCAGGUAUGGUCAUACAAAAACUUCACUAUCGGUAAGCCGUCGAUCGAGGGAAGCUCAUAUGGCGUGAGUUGUACGAUGUAGACGAGGUAGACAGUCCCAUUCUUGGCUCCAUCUGGUGUUGCCGCUAGCCAUGCAGGAAGGGGUGCAAUGCACAUAAUAGCUACCGGGUAUUCGAGAGUGAAGUUGACUACCUAGCUAUUGGUGACGUGACUUGCACAACAUACACCCAUGCGAGACUAGACUGCUGCACCACGAUGGGCCUCUCCAGCCUGUGCGUGCGAAACAAAGAAUACUGGUUGAUCGUAAAAAACUUGUUUUCAAGCACAUGCCAUUGCCCAUAAUCUUCACCCUGUCUUUAAUCUUUGGCCAUUUGAUCUUGAGGUGUGAGCAUGUACUCUAGCCACUACCUCAGUCAGACUGUGAAGGUAGGGUGUUGCCAAAUUUAUUGGCUCUCUCCAGAUCUUGGUUGUUGGAGUCAAUUAAGGGAAGAAGUCCACUAAAUCUUGUUGUGGUGAGUUCACUUAUUUUAAGUUGGUAUGUGGCAUAACUUACUUUCUCCAAUCCUCUAAAGUGGCGGUGAAGGACUGAUACAGAUAAAUAUGCAACCAAUGAAGAAUCAUCAAUCAAAGCACAUACUUAAGACUAGUUUUUUCAUUGUGUCACUCUACAAGAUAAAGGGUCACUCUACCAAUUUCACAAUUAUUUUUCAUUGUGUACUAAAGAUUGAACACUUCCAAGCGGACUAGAAUUAUGCAACACCACCAAUUUCACAAACACGUAAUUAAAGCAUGUCACUGAUUUCACGGUCUAAAAUGGACACCAGAGGUUGAAUGAUGAAAAUAGAGAUAUAAUUUGUUGUUAAUUCUUCCUGCACAUUCUCCUGGGAGAAACCACAUCAGCCCCGGCCUCACAUCUCGCAACCAACCGUUGAAGCUGAGAUCGGUUGAGUUUGAAGGCCGGCGGGUGGAGAAGAAAAGACACUCAUGUCACUGAAUUUUCUCUGCAGGCUAUUUUGAGGCAUGUCGCUGCAUCACUCAUGCCCAUCUUUGCUCCUGCUCUUGCAUGGAGAACCGCUUAUAAAUUCAUUGAGCUAUUG
This is a long non-coding RNA of Triticum aestivum (bread wheat), 2233 nucleotides long. RefSeq lists it as uncharacterized. NCBI's taxonomy places the organism in Eukaryota, Viridiplantae, Streptophyta, Magnoliopsida, Poales, Poaceae. The record is from RefSeq and is a predicted model, not a curated record. The transcript has 4 exons.